CACAUGCAAGUCGAGGGGCGAGCGGGAAGUCAGCUGCUGACUUGCCGGCGACCGGCGCACGGGUGAGUAACGCGUAUCCAACUUCCCCUUAGUAGGGCAUAGCCCGUAGAAAUGCGGAUUAAUACCCUAUGUUUUCCGAUGAGGACAUCUGAGCUGGAACAAAGGUUUACCGCUAAGGGAUGGGGAUGCGUCUGAUUAGGCAGCAGGCGGGGUAACGGCCCACCUGGCCGACGAUCAGUAGGGGUUCUGAGAGGAAGGUCCCCCACAUUGGAACUGAGACACGGUCCAAACUCCUACGGGAGGCAGCAGUGAGGAAUAUUGGUCAAUGGGCGCGAGCCUGAACCAGCCAAGUAGCGUGCAGGAUGACGGCCCUAUGGGUUGUAAACUGCUUUUUAUGCGGGGAUAAAGUCACCCACGUGUGGGUGUUUGUAGGUACCGCAUGAAUAAGGACCGGCUAAUUCCGUGCCAGCCGCCGC
Molecule: ribosomal RNA, 476 nt
Filed under: uncultured bacterium
Lineage: Bacteria
Description: bacterial SSU rRNA
Rfam family: Bacterial small subunit ribosomal RNA
Source: RNAcentral